Candidatus Wildermuthbacteria bacterium is the source of this 110-nucleotide non-coding RNA. The record is from Rfam. NCBI's taxonomy places the organism in Bacteria, Candidatus Wildermuthiibacteriota.
UAAGGCGACUAUACUGGAGAUGCUCCACCCGUUCCCAUUCCGAACACGGAAGUGAAAUUCUCCAAGGCCGAUGAUAGUGGCUCUGCCGCGAAAGUAGGUAGUCGCCCUAC